UACGUAGGGACCAAGCGUUGUCCGGAAUCAUUGGGCGUAAAGAGCGUGUAGGCGGCCUGUUAAGUCUUGCGUGAAAUCUCGGGGCUCAACCCCGAGCGGUCGUGAGAAACUGGCAGGCUAGAGUGCGGGAGAGGAGAGUGGAAUUCCUGGUGUAGCAGUGAAAAUGCGUAGAGAUCGGGAGGAACAUCUGUGGCGAAGGCGGCCAUCUGGACCAGCACUGACACUGAGGCACGAAAGCGUGGGGAGCAAACAGG
This 254-nucleotide ribosomal RNA is filed under the name uncultured bacterium. RNAcentral describes it as "partial 16S ribosomal RNA". It matches the Rfam family "Bacterial small subunit ribosomal RNA", at positions 524 to 776 of the family's 1533-position model. The record is from RNAcentral.